RNAcentral lists this ribosomal RNA (425 nucleotides) under uncultured soil bacterium. Its description in RNAcentral is "bacterial SSU rRNA". It matches the Rfam family "Bacterial small subunit ribosomal RNA", at positions 26 to 497 of the family's 1533-position model. The record is from RNAcentral.
AGAACGAACGCUGGCGGCAGGCUUAACACAUGCAAGUCGAACGGUUGUAGCAAUACAGCAGUGGCAGACGGGUGAGUAACACGUGGGAACCUUCCUAGGGGUACGGAACAACUCAGGGAAACUUGAGCUAAUACCGUAUACGUCCGUAAGGAGAAAGAUUCAUCGCCCCUAGACGGGCCCGCGUAGGAUUAGGUAGUUGGUGAGGUAACGGCUCACCAAGCCUACGAUCCUUAGCUGAUCUGAGAGGAUGAUCAGCCACACUGGGACUGAGACACGGCCCAGACUCCUACGGGAGGCAGCAGUGGGGAAUCUUGGACAAUGGGCGCAAGCCUGAUCCAGCCAUGCCGCGUGAGUGAAGAAGGCCUUGGUUGUAAGCUCUUUUACCAGGGACGAUAAGUGACGGUACCUGGAGAAUAACGCCCGAC